GACGAACGCUGGCGGCGUGCUUAACACAUGCAAGUCGAACGGAAAGGCCCUGCUUUUGUGGGGUGCGCGAGUGGCGAACGGGUGAGUAACACGUGAGUAACCUGCCCUUGACUUUGGGAUAACUUCAGGAAACUGGGGCUCAUACCGGAUAGGAGCUCCUGCCGCAUGGUGGGGGUUGGAAAGUUUCGGCGGUUGGGGAUGGACUCGCGGCUUAUCAGCUUGUUGGCGGGGUAGUGGCUUACCAAGGCUUGGACGGGUAGCCGGCCUGGGAGGGUGACCGGCCACAUUGGGACUGGGAUACGGCCCAGACUCCUACUGGAGGCAGCAGUGGGAAAUAGUGCACAAUGGGCGGGGGCCUGAUGCAGCAACGCCGCGUGCGGGAUGACGGCCUUCGGGUUGUAAACCGCUUUCGCCUGUGACGAAGAGUGAGUGACGGUAAUGGGUAAAGAAGCACCGGCUAACUACGUG
This 468-nucleotide ribosomal RNA is filed under the name uncultured bacterium. RNAcentral's name for it is "partial 16S ribosomal RNA". It matches the Rfam family "Bacterial small subunit ribosomal RNA", at positions 28 to 507 of the family's 1533-position model. The record is from RNAcentral.